This 509-nucleotide ribosomal RNA is filed under the name uncultured bacterium. Its description in RNAcentral is "bacterial SSU rRNA". It matches the Rfam family "Bacterial small subunit ribosomal RNA", at positions 19 to 518 of the family's 1533-position model. The record is from RNAcentral.
AUGGCUCAGAUGAACGCUGGCGGCAGGCCUAACACAUGCAAGUCGAACGGUAACAGGAAGAAGCUUGCUCUUGCUGACGAGUGGCGGACGGGUGAGUAAUGUCUGGGAAACUGCCUGAUGGAGGGGGAUAACUACUGGAAACGGUAGCUAAUACCGCAUAACGUCGCAAGACCAAAGAGGGGGGACCUUCGGGCCUCUUGCCAUCGGAUGUGCCCAGAUGGGAUUAGCUUGUUGGUGGGGUAACGGCUCACCAAGGCGACGAUCCCUAGCUGGUCUGGGAGGAUGACCAGCCACACUGGAACUGAGACACGGUCCAGACUCCUACGGGAGGCAGCAGUGGGGAAUAUUGCACAAUGGGCGCAAGCCUGAUGCAGCCAUGCCCGCGUGUAUGAAGAAGGCCUUCGGGUUGUAAAGUACUUUCAGCGGGGAGGAAGGGAGUAAAGUUAAUACCUUUGCUCAUUGACGUUACCCGCAGAAGAAGCACCGGCUAACUCCGUGCCAGCCGCCGC